GCCAACAGCCAUAUCACCCUGCAACUCACAACUGGCAACCCACUGAAGCUCAGCAGGUAUGAGCCUGGUCAGUACCUGGAUGGGAGACCUCCUGGGAAAAACUAAGGAUGCUGCUGGAA
Molecule: ribosomal RNA, 119 nt
Organism: Lepisosteus oculatus (spotted gar)
Lineage: Eukaryota; Metazoa; Chordata; Actinopteri; Semionotiformes; Lepisosteidae
Source: Ensembl